UUAUUAGUAUAGGUAUGUCCCAUGCAAUAUUUGAGACAUAUUUAUAUUAAAA
This 52-nucleotide microRNA precursor is filed under the name Mustela putorius furo (domestic ferret). RNAcentral's name for it is "mir-1302 microRNA precursor family". It matches the Rfam family "mir-1302 microRNA precursor family". The record is from Rfam by way of RNAcentral. Lineage: Eukaryota; Metazoa; Chordata; Mammalia; Carnivora; Mustelidae.